This 1452-nucleotide ribosomal RNA is filed under the name uncultured Bordetella sp. Its description in RNAcentral is "partial 16S-23S ribosomal RNA intergenic spacer". It matches the Rfam family "Bacterial small subunit ribosomal RNA". The record is from RNAcentral. Lineage: Bacteria; Pseudomonadati; Pseudomonadota; Betaproteobacteria; Burkholderiales; Alcaligenaceae.
GGUUUGAUUCUGUCAGAUUGAACGCUGGCAGGAUGCUUUACAUUUGAAGUCGAACGGCAGCACGGACUUCGGUCUGAUGGCGAUGGCGAACGGGUGAGUAAUGUAUCGGAACACAUUAUAAGUAGCGGGGGAUAACUACGCGAAAGCGUAGCUAAUACCACAUACGCCCUUCGGGGAAAAGCGGGGACUGGGCCUCACGCACUAUUGAAACAGCCGAUAUCGGAUUAGCUAGUUGGUGGGGUAACGGCUCGCAAGGCGACGAUCCGUAGCUGGUUUGAGAGGACGAUAGCCACACUGGGAUUGAGACACGGCCCAGACUCCUGGGAGGCAGCAGUGGGGAAUUUUGGACAAUGGGGGAAACCUGAUCCAGCCAUCCCGACGGCGAUGAAGGCCUUCGGGUUGUAAAGCACUUUUGGCAGGAAAACGGCACGGGAUAAUACCCCGUGCAACUGACAGUACCUGCAGAAUAAGCACCAGCUAACCGUGCCAGCAGCCGCGGUAAUACGUAGGGUGCAAGCGUUAAUCCGAAUUACUGGGCCGUAAGCGUGCGCAGGCGGUUCGGGAAAGAAGAUGUGAAAUCCCAGAGCUUAACUUUGGAACUGCAUUUUUAACUACCGAGCUGAAGUGUGUCAGAGGAGGUGGAAUUCCGUCUUAGCAGUGAAAUGCGUAGAUAUGCGGAGGAACACCGAUGGCGAAGGCAACCUCCUGGGAUAACACUGACGCUCAUGCACAAAACGUGGGGAGCAAGCAGAGUUAGAUACCCUGGUAGUCCACGCGCCCUAAACGAUGUAACUAGCUGUUGGGCCUUCGGGCCUUGGUAGCGCAGCUAACGCGUGAAGUUGACCGCCUGGAAGUACGGUCGCAGAUUAAAACUCAAAGGAAUUGACGGAGACCCGCACAAGCGGUGGAUGAUGCAUGGAUUAAUUGAUGCAACGCGAAAAGCCUACCAUGACAUGUCUGGAAUCCCGAAAGAGAUUUAGGAAUGUUCGCAAAGAGAACCGGAACACGGUGCUGCAUGGCCGUCGUCAGCUCGUGUCGUGAGGAUGUUGGUUGAUCCGCAACGAGCUGUCGCCUUGUCAUUGGAUUGCCGCACGGGCACUCUAAUACGAGACUACCGGUAGCAAGCCGGAGGAGAGUGGGGAUGGCGUCAAGUCCUCAUGGCCCUUAUGGUGGGCACACGUCAUACAAUGGUCGGGACAGAGGGUCGCCAACCCGCGAGGGGAGCCAAUCCCAGAAACCCGAUCGUAGUCCGGAUCGCAGUCUGCAACUCGACUGCGUGAAGUCGGAAUCGCCAUUAAUCCGCGGAUCAGCAUGUCGCGGUGAAUACAUUCCCGGGUCUUGUACACACACCGCCCGUCACACCAUGGGAGUGGGUUUUACCAAGUAGUUAGCCUAACCGUAAGGAGGGCGAUUACCACAGUAGUUGUGACUGGUGAAGUCGUAACAAGGUAG